RNAcentral lists this ribosomal RNA (564 nucleotides) under uncultured bacterium. RNAcentral's name for it is "bacterial SSU rRNA". It matches the Rfam family "Bacterial small subunit ribosomal RNA", at positions 338 to 916 of the family's 1533-position model. The record is from RNAcentral.
CCUACGGGAGGCAGCAGUGGGGAAUAUUGGACAAUGGGCGAAAGCCUGAUCCAGCAAUGCCGCGUGAGUGAUGAAGGCCUUCGGGUCGUAAAGCUCUUUUACCAGGGAUGAUAAUGACAGUACCUGGAGAAUAAGCUCCGGCUAACUCCGUGCCAGCAGCCGCGGUACUACGGAGGGAGCUAGCGUUGUUCGGAAUUACUGGGCGUAAAGAGUACGUAGGCGGUUAUUCAAGUCAGAGGUGAAAGCCCGGGGCUCAACCCCGGAACUGCCUUUGAAACUAGAUAACUAGAGUCUUGGAGAGGUUAGUGGAAUUCCGAGUGUAGAGGUGAAAUUCGUAGAUAUUCGGAAGAACACCAGUGGCGAAGGCGACUAACUGGACAAGUACUGACGCUGAGGUACGAAAGCGUGGGGAGCAAACAGGAUUAGAUACCCUGGUAGUCCACGCCGUAAACGAUGAUAACUAGUUGUUCGGUCACUUGGUGACUGAGUGACGCAGCUAACGCAUUAAGUUAUCCGCCUGGGGAGUACGGUCGCAAGAUUAAAAACUUAAAAGGAAAUUGACGG